RNAcentral lists this ribosomal RNA (401 nucleotides) under Phialophora sp. EXP0543F. RNAcentral describes it as "eukaryotic LSU rRNA". The stretch from base 111 to 262 matches the Rfam family "5.8S ribosomal RNA". Lineage: Eukaryota; Fungi; Ascomycota; Eurotiomycetes; Chaetothyriales; Herpotrichiellaceae. The record is from RNAcentral.
GGAUCAUUACCAGUCUCCGACCACCCCGUGAACCUACUAGCGUACCUUAGCCCCCCGACCGGGGGCCGGGCGCCAGACCCGCCUAACGUACUCUAAGGAACGUGAGUAAAAACUCUUAGUAAUAGAUCUCUUAGCUCUAGUAUCGAUAAAGGACGUAGCGAAAUACGAUACGUAAUGCGAAUUAUAAGCCCCGCGAACCAUCGAGUCUUUAAACGUAUACUACGCCCGCCGGUCCCCAGCGGGCACGCCCGUCCGAGCGUCGUACUACCCCUCGGGUACCGCCCAGCGUUAGGGGACCAUGCCCGCAGCCCCCGAAACAUAACGGCGAACCCCUAGCCCGUACGUAGUAGCGCUUACGCUACGGCGCUAGGGGCCCUACCGGGAUAUAGACGGCCGACCUC